UACGUAGGGGGCAAGCGUUGUCCGGAAUCAUUGGGCGUAAAGAGCGCGUAGGCGGUCCGGUAAGUCGGUUGUGAAAACUGGGGGCUCAACCCUCAGAGGCCGACCGAUACUGCCGGGCUAGAGUCCGGAAGAGGCGAGUGGAAUUCCUGGUGUAGCGGUGAAAUGCGCAGAUAUCAGGAGGAACACCGGUGGCGAAGGCGGCUCUCUGGGCCUUACCUGACGCUGAGGAGCGAAAGCGUGGGUAGCGAACAGG
RNAcentral lists this ribosomal RNA (253 nucleotides) under uncultured bacterium. RNAcentral describes it as "partial 16S ribosomal RNA". It matches the Rfam family "Bacterial small subunit ribosomal RNA", at positions 524 to 776 of the family's 1533-position model. The record is from RNAcentral.